AUAGCUAAUCCCCAAUAGUAUCUAGAUGAUGAAAUCAGUCUAGAUUAAAGAUUUAUCGCUUUUGGAGGAGGGUGCGUCCUAUCAGGUAGUUGGUAAGGUAAUGGCUUACCAAGCCUAUGACGGGUAGCCGGUUUGAGAUGAUGAUCGGCCGCGAUGGGACUGAGACACGGCCCAUACUCCUACGGGAGGCAGCAGUGGGGAAUAUUGCACAAUGGACGAAAGUCUGAUGCAGCGAUUCUGCGUGGAGGAUGAAGCAUUACGGUGCGUAAACUCCUUUUCUGGUAGAAGACGAAUGACGGUAUACCAGGAAUAAGGGACGGCUAACUAUGUGCCAGCAGCCGCGGUAAUACGUAGGUCCCAAGCGUUAUCCGGAUUUACUGGGCGUAAAGUGUCCGUAGCCUGAUAAAUAAGUCUGUUUUCAAAUACCUGGACUCAAUCGAGGGAAGGGAAUAGAUACUGUUUAUCUAGAGAUAUUUGGGGGUUAGUGGAAUUUCCGGUGGAGCGGUGAAAUGCGUUGAUAUCGGAAAGAACGCCGAAAGCGAAAGCAGCUAACUACAAUACAUCUGACGGUGAGGGACGAAAGCUUGGGGAGCAAACGGGAUUAGAUACCCCGGUAGUCCAAGCCUUAAAUUAUGCUUGCUAGGUGUUUAGAUCCUUCGGGAUUUAAGUGCCGUAAUCUAACGAGUUAAGCAAGCCGCCUGAGUAGUAUAUUCGCAAGAAUGAAACUCAAAGGGAUAGGCGGGAGAACACACAAGCAGUGGAUUGUCUAGAUUAAUUGGAUACGAAGCCAAGAAUCUUACCUAGAUUUGACAUGCAUUAUGUCUACGGUGAAAGCCGUAUAUUCGUAGCAAUACGAAGUUUUGCACAGGUGGUGCAUGGUCGUCGUCAGCUCGUGCCGCAAGGUGUCUAGUUAAGUCUAGUAACGAGCGCAACCCUCGUCCUUAGUUAGAAUGUCUAAGGAGACUGCCUCGGUAACGAGGAGGAAGGAGAGGAUGACGUCAGAUCCUCAUGCCCCUUACAUCUAGGGCCUCAUAGACAAUACAAUGGGUAGCAACAACGAGAAGCAAUACCGCGAGGUGGAGCAAAUCUUCAAACCUACCCCUAGUUCGGAUUGUAGUCUGGAACUCGACUACAUGAAGUUGGAAUUGCUAGUAAUGGCGAAUCAGCUAUGUC
This 1173-nucleotide ribosomal RNA is filed under the name uncultured prokaryote. RNAcentral's name for it is "bacterial SSU rRNA". It matches the Rfam family "Bacterial small subunit ribosomal RNA", at positions 159 to 1358 of the family's 1533-position model. The record is from RNAcentral.